UGCCAGCCGCCGCGGUAAUACGUACUGUGCGAACGUUAUUCGGAAUCACUGGGCUUAAAGGGUGCGUAGGCGGUUUGCCAAGUCGGAUGUGAAAGGUUGGGGCUCAACCCCAACACGGCGUUCGAAACUGGCAAUCUUGAGUCGGCUAGGGGUGUGUGGAACUACCAGUGGAGCGGUGAAAUGUGUUGAGAUUGGUAGGAACGCCGGUGGCGAAAGCGACACACUGGGGCCGGUCUGACGCUGAGGCACUAAAGCCAGGGGAGCGAACGGGAUUAGAUA
RNAcentral lists this ribosomal RNA (279 nucleotides) under uncultured bacterium. RNAcentral's name for it is "partial 16S ribosomal RNA". It matches the Rfam family "Bacterial small subunit ribosomal RNA", at positions 506 to 784 of the family's 1533-position model. The record is from RNAcentral.